RNAcentral lists this unclassified non-coding RNA (217 nucleotides) under Hevea brasiliensis (rubber tree). Lineage: Eukaryota; Viridiplantae; Streptophyta; Magnoliopsida; Malpighiales; Euphorbiaceae. The record is from RNAcentral.
AGUGUUUUGAGUAUCAUUGUUGAUGAAAUGCAUUGAUUUUGGUUUAUCAUUCUUUGUUAUCUAUAUAAAAGCGGGAAGAUUCAAUAAUUUGAGCCCCGCUAACUUUGCCAUGGUAAAAAUAUUUUUAUUUGCUUAACACAUUUUGGUAUAAGUAUGCUUGAAAUGACAAAUUGGUCAGCCCAAAACUAUUGCUUUAUGUCUAUUGUCUUUUGAAAAA